GAUGAACGCCGGCGGUGUGCCUAAUACAUGCAAGUCGUACGCACUGGCCCAACUGAUUGAUGGUGCUUGCACCUGAUUGACGAUGGAUCACCAGUGAGUGGCGGACGGGUGAGUAACACGUAGGUAACCUGCCCCGGAGCGGGGGAUAACAUUUGGAAACAGAUGCUAAUACCGCAUAACAACAAAAGCCACAUGGCUUUUCUUUGAAAGAUGGCUUUGGCUAUCACUCUGGGAUGGACCUGCGGUGCAUUAGCUAGUUGGUAAGGUAACGGCUUACCAAGGCGAUGAUGCAUAGCCGAGUUGAGAGACUGAUCGGCCACAAUGGAACUGAGACACGGUCCAUACUCCUACGGGAGGCAGCAGUAGGGAAUCUUCCACAAUGGGCGCAAGCCUGAUGGAGCAACACCGCGUGAGUGAAGAAGGGUUUCGGCUCGUAAAGCUCUGUUGUUGGAGAAGAACGUGCGUGAGAGUAACUGUUCACGCAGUGACGGUAUCCAACCAGAAAGUCACGGCUAACUACGUGCCAGCAGCCGCGGUAAUACGUAGGUGGCAAGCGUUAUCCGGAUUUAUUGGGCGUAAAGCGAGCGCAGGCGGUUGCUUAGGUCUGAUGUGAAAGCCUUCGGCUUAACCGAAGAAGUGCAUCGGA
RNAcentral lists this ribosomal RNA (646 nucleotides) under uncultured Lactobacillus sp. RNAcentral describes it as "bacterial SSU rRNA". It matches the Rfam family "Bacterial small subunit ribosomal RNA", at positions 28 to 630 of the family's 1533-position model. Lineage: Bacteria; Bacillati; Bacillota; Bacilli; Lactobacillales; Lactobacillaceae. The record is from RNAcentral.